AGGUAGAGAGAAAGAGGGCAAAUAGGAGGUUAGGUGUUAAUCAACAGGCAGACAAUCAACACCGACCGUCGGCGUCAGCGAUUAGCGGGGUCGCUUCGGAGCGCCAGGGCCACCCGCUAUGACCAGUAGAUCGAUACCAUUCGACCAAAUCAACCACCGGAAUGGCCACCGACCGACCGUUGGUGAUCGGUAAACACAUUAGCGAGAUUAACCAUUGCCGUGCCCGGGAAAUUCCGGCACAUGGCGCCACUCUAGUAGCGCACGAGGCAGAAGCCGGCAUGUUGGCGUGACUCCUCGAGCGCCAGGAACUCUAAUUAAUUCGCCCACUGACCCGGGGGGCUUUUCUUGGAAAUCCUCCCUCGUAGUUAGCAAUUCAAAUUCGGACAGUAGUGGACAGGACAGUUAACCAGUCGUGUAAAUACUGUUAUCAUACGCAUCCCUCCACCUCCCCCCGGGUGGUUGGACAUCAACAUAAAUAGAGCAAUGCAGUGCAGCAGGGACCGGACACCACCACGUUGCCGAAUGUAAUUGGAGCCCAAAAAAGAGAAAGUGCUUCAAAUGGCGCCAAACUUUACGGGCUGCACGCUGGCGGAAAAAGGAAUGGCCGUGCGGCGUCAUUGAGUUCAAGCGGAGUGACGGCACUACUAAUCAUCGUCGGUGCCAAGCCCAUCAACAGCAUAUGGUCCCCGGAAGUCAACCGCCUGUCAACGAUUCCGACAGGCCAGCAACAGAGUCACGGUACGUCAGUCAACCAGCGGGAGCUCACACUGUCAGACUACCCGCAAAAGGUCCUCGCAGACUUUCUGCGUUAUCAUUAGAUUGCAGAUUAACAGAUAGUUGCUAGCAAAUAAAUAUGCAGCACGAUAUCGGAUGAUCUGGCGAGACUUCGGCAAUGGUUUGGGCUUUGGUUGGGCUUUCCACAACCCCGGAGGGAGCGCUGCGGUGAGUGAUGGUUUUACGAUAAGGUUUUUUUUUACAUAUAUAAGGACGGACGAGCCGUAUGUUUUACGAUAAGGUUAUGCGUGGCAGACGCGACAUAUUACUGAUAUACAUCCAGAGAACCUUUUAAGUAAAUAAUCAUUAAUAAAUUGCCAUCAAUUGAACCAUGUGCACCGGACAAUGAA
Anopheles aquasalis is the source of this 1124-nucleotide long non-coding RNA. RefSeq lists it as uncharacterized. The record is from RefSeq and is a predicted model, not a curated record. Lineage: Eukaryota; Metazoa; Arthropoda; Insecta; Diptera; Culicidae.